ACCUUUGGCCUUUCAGUUUCUCCAGUUUUAAAGGGACAUGGUAUCUAAUCUUAUAUAUAGAGAAUAUCCUCAAGCAAUCAUCUUAUUGCCUCCAUAAGGAUUCUACUCCAUCUUUUUCACCAAAAUUAAUGGUGGUAAGAACUCGCUUUUGUUUCCUGUUUACUUUGAAUAUAUUAUAAUGGUAACUCGCGAUUAUUUUCAAUAUAUAUUCUUCAUUCGCAUGUUUCUGAGUCUAUAACUACGUUGUGCAAAUUCAUAAGGUCCACAAACUUUUAUAGCCCUGGAUUUCGAUGUCCCCAAGUUAAAAAAUUUUGUGCCCAAGUAAGUCUGCAAGGAACUGAGGAAGGUAUCUCAUGAUUUUUAGUGUCGAGCAUUUUACUUUUUACUGCUAAGAGAUCGUUGAUGUAGGCUUUCAUGAAAUACAAUAUUACAUUUGCAAUCAAUUCUGGGUAUUGAUUGUAAAAAAUAUCUUUGACGAAGGAUUUGUUUUUACGAUUUAAGAAGGGAAGAAGUUGUUGACAUGCUUGGGAGGAAGAAUAAAGCAGAGGUUAACGGAAAAAAUUGGAUUGUGCAGUGACCAGUUUCCACAUAAAUUUGAUCAUAAAUGGAUAACGCAAGAGUUUUCUCUUUCUAGAAGGAAUUGAGUAAAAGACAUGGUUACACCGGAAAUGUGAAGCUCCAAUCACUUAUCCCAAUGUCUUUACAUUAUCGCUUUUAUGGGUAUUGCUCAAAAGUUUUGGCAAGCUAAGAUUAUGGAAUUAUAAAUUAGGGAGCGCUAUUUAUUUAACUUUAAAAAUGAGGUAGCAAGCUUAAUUAACCCUGAUGUGAAUUUGAAAGUUUUUUAAUACUUCAAGGUUAUGGGUUGUUUUAUUUUACGCUA
This is a non-coding RNA of Nicotiana tabacum (common tobacco), 880 nucleotides long. Lineage: Eukaryota; Viridiplantae; Streptophyta; Magnoliopsida; Solanales; Solanaceae. The record is from RefSeq and is a predicted model, not a curated record.